AGGAGAGCCAGUUGGUUACGUUAGUUGCUAAACAGUUCGCAUACAAGCGGUUGGUAGGCGACAGUUGGAAUGUUUGCGUUCACACACUAUUAUCAUGAGCGGUCUCGAACAGUGAUUAAAUUAUUUGGGAAGGAAGUUUGUUAGUAACAGUACGCAUGCACAAGUUAGCCGUUUAGCUAGCUAACAAACUAUUUAAAAACAAAUCAAACUUGACUGUCAACAGCGAGUGCAAAAUGCCAGUUCAAACGAUGCAAUUGGCAUUAUACGAUGCAACUCGUUUUGUAGAAACACAAUUUCACGCAAAUAGCUUUGCUUGAUCAACAGCACUAGCUAACUAACAUAGUUAGCUCAUUUGAAUAUCCUCAAGGCCAACGUGAGUAGUUAGCUAGCUAACGCGUUGGUCUAGCCCUUUGAUUUGGUGAAGAAUGGCUGGUACGGUAUUGGGCGUGGGAACUUUUUUUUUCUUCCAUUGCUCUUAUCUGGAUUGUAGCUUUCGUGCUGGGGAUGAUCCUCUUGAGAGCUACUGGACCAACUAACUUAGGGGUCAUCCCUGUCUUCCUGCUGGCCCCUCAUUUCCACUCUUAUCCUGGUGUUCUUCCCCUGUAGCUCAGAGACCCUGUCACCAUUCAAAGAUUUUGAGACCGUAGACACUUUCUUCAUCAGCCGAUACGUCCUGCUGUCGGUGGCCAGCGUAGGCUUCUUGGUUGCUCUGUUCGGCCUGCUGCCCCUCCAUUUCCUGGAAGCUGUCUAAGCCAAGCCCUUGAACACACUAGAGCUGAGUGGCCAGGCCAAGUUGGCAUGCUAGACUAGUGGCCAGGGCCCAAUGUGCAGCGCUGGAGAUGAGAAGAGGCCAACUAAGAGGGGCCCUAGUGAAAUCGAGCGCAGGACAGGUUGGCAACCGAGCCCAAAAACAGACAGGGCCAAUGUUUUCUCCGUGAUCGACUGUUUGUUGUUGGGGGGAAUUUUGGGCCAACUGAAAUUAAAGAGGCUACUAUGUUCUUUGGUAUAGGCCACUGUAAACAUAAACAAUGUGUUUUGUGUUUAUGGAUAGCAAUUAGGCUACUUUGAAUUGUGGUGGUGGAAUAGCACUUGCAUUAAUAUAAUGCAUUUAUCUCUGUUGCCUGAUUCAGAAGUUCAGAGGAUAAGACUGAUAACUGUAUGUAUAUUUUUGACAUUCACUUUUUUUUUCUCCACUUGUAUUUAUAAAAUGGAUGUAUUGUGAUUUUUAGGAGAACUUUAUUAAACAUUUCAAUAUUGUU
Molecule: long non-coding RNA, 1259 nt
Organism: Oncorhynchus tshawytscha (Chinook salmon)
Lineage: Eukaryota; Metazoa; Chordata; Actinopteri; Salmoniformes; Salmonidae
Exons: 3
Source: RefSeq, a predicted model, not a curated record